This 2926-nucleotide ribosomal RNA is filed under the name Enterobacter roggenkampii. RNAcentral describes it as "23S ribosomal RNA". It matches the Rfam family "Bacterial large subunit ribosomal RNA". The record is from RNAcentral. Lineage: Bacteria; Pseudomonadati; Pseudomonadota; Gammaproteobacteria; Enterobacterales; Enterobacteriaceae.
GGGUUGUGAGGUUAAGCGACUAAGCGUACACGGUGGAUGCCCUGGCAGUCAGAGGCGAUGAAGGACGUGCUAAUCUGCGAAAAGCGCCGGCGAGGUGAUAUGAACCUUUGACCCGGCGAUGUCCGAAUGGGGAAACCCAGUGUGAUUCGUCACACUAUCGUUAACUGAAUACAUAGGUUAACGAGGCGAACCGGGGGAACUGAAACAUCUAAGUACCCCGAGGAAAAGAAAUCAACCGAGAUUCCCCCAGUAGCGGCGAGCGAACGGGGAGCAGCCCAGAGUCUGAAUCAGCUUGUGUGUUAGUGGAAGCGUCUGGAAAGUCGCACGGUACAGGGUGACAGUCCCGUACACGAAAGCACACAGGUUGUGAACUCGAAGAGUAGGGCGGGACACGUGGUAUCCUGUCUGAAUAUGGGGGGACCAUCCUCCAAGGCUAAAUACUCCUGACUGACCGAUAGUGAACCAGUACCGUGAGGGAAAGGCGAAAAGAACCCCGGCGAGGGGAGUGAAAAAGAACCUGAAACCGUGUACGUACAAGCAGUGGGAGCACCUUCGGGUGUGACUGCGUACCUUUUGUAUAAUGGGUCAGCGACUUAUAUUCUGUAGCAAGGUUAACCGUAUAGGGGAGCCGAAGGGAAACCGAGUCUUAACUGGGCGUUAAGUUGCAGGGUAUAGACCCGAAACCCGGUGAUCUAGCCAUGGGCAGGUUGAAGGUUGGGUAACACUAACUGGAGGACCGAACCGACUAAUGUUGAAAAAUUAGCGGAUGACUUGUGGCUGGGGGUGAAAGGCCAAUCAAACCGGGAGAUAGCUGGUUCUCCCCGAAAGCUAUUUAGGUAGCGCCUCGUGAACUCAUCUUCGGGGGUAGAGCACUGUUUCGGCUAGGGGGCCAUCCCGGCUUACCAACCCGAUGCAAACUACGAAUACCGAAGAAUGUUAUCACGGGAGACACACGGCGGGUGCUAACGUCCGUCGUGAAGAGGGAAACAACCCAGACCGCCAGCUAAGGUCCCAAAGUCAUGGUUAAGUGGGAAACGAUGUGGGAAGGCACAGACAGCCAGGAUGUUGGCUUAGAAGCAGCCAUCAUUUAAAGAAAGCGUAAUAGCUCACUGGUCGAGUCGGCCUGCGCGGAAGAUGUAACGGGGCUAAACCAUGCACCGAAGCUGCGGCAGCGACGCUUAUGCGUUGUUGGGUAGGGGAGCGUUCUGUAAGCCGUUGAAGGUGGCCUGUGAGGGUUGCUGGAGGUAUCAGAAGUGCGAAUGCUGACAUAAGUAACGAUAAAGCGGGUGAAAAGCCCGCUCGCCGGAAGACCAAGGGUUCCUGUCCAACGUUAAUCGGGGCAGGGUGAGUCGACCCCUAAGGCGAGGCCGAAAGGCGUAGUCGAUGGGAAACAGGUUAAUAUUCCUGUACUUGGUGUUACUGCGAAGGGGGGACGGAGAAGGCUAUGUUAGCCGGGCGACGGUUGUCCCGGUUUAAGCAUGUAGGCGGAACGAUUAGGUAAAUCCGGUCGUUUUUUAACGCUGAGGUGUGAUGACGAGGCACUACGGUGCUGAAGUAACAAAUGCCCUGCUUCCAGGAAAAGCCUCUAAGCAUCAGGUAACAUCAAAUCGUACCCCAAACCGACACAGGUGGUCAGGUAGAGAAUACCAAGGCGCUUGAGAGAACUCGGGUGAAGGAACUAGGCAAAAUGGUGCCGUAACUUCGGGAGAAGGCACGCUGAUAUGUAGGUGAAGCCCCUGCGGGUGGAGCUGAAAUCAGUCGAAGAUACCAGCUGGCUGCAACUGUUUAUUAAAAACACAGCACUGUGCAAACACGAAAGUGGACGUAUACGGUGUGACGCCUGCCCGGUGCCGGAAGGUUAAUUGAUGGGGUUAGCGGCAACGCGAAGCUCUUGAUCGAAGCCCCGGUAAACGGCGGCCGUAACUAUAACGGUCCUAAGGUAGCGAAAUUCCUUGUCGGGUAAGUUCCGACCUGCACGAAUGGCGUAAUGAUGGCCAGGCUGUCUCCACCCGAGACUCAGUGAAAUUGAACUCGCUGUGAAGAUGCAGUGUACCCGCGGCAAGACGGAAAGACCCCGUGAACCUUUACUAUAGCUUGACACUGAACACUGGUCCUUGAUGUGUAGGAUAGGUGGGAGGCUUUGAAGUGUGGACGCCAGUCUGCAUGGAGCCGUCCUUGAAAUACCACCCUUUAAUGGCUGGUGUUCUAACGUAGACCCGUGAUCCGGGUUGCGGACAGUGUCUGGUGGGUAGUUUGACUGGGGCGGUCUCCUCCCAAAGAGUAACGGAGGAGCACGAAGGUUAGCUAAUCCUGGUCGGACAUCAGGAGGUUAGUGCAAUGGCAUAAGCUAGCUUGACUGCGAGAGUGACGGCUCGAGCAGGUGCGAAAGCAGGUCAUAGUGAUCCGGUGGUUCUGAAUGGAAGGGCCAUCGCUCAACGGAUAAAAGGUACUCCGGGGAUAACAGGCUGAUACCGCCCAAGAGUUCAUAUCGACGGCGGUGUUUGGCACCUCGAUGUCGGCUCAUCACAUCCUGGGGCUGAAGUAGGUCCCAAGGGUAUGGCUGUUCGCCAUUUAAAGUGGUACGCGAGCUGGGUUUAGAACGUCGUGAGACAGUUCGGUCCCUAUCUGCCGUGGGCGCUGGAGAAUUGAGGGGGGCUGCUCCUAGUACGAGAGGACCGGAGUGGACGCAUCACUGGUGUUCGGGUUGUCAUGCCAAUGGCACUGCCCGGUAGCUAAAUGCGGAAAAGAUAAGUGCUGAAAGCAUCUAAGCACGAAACUUGCCCCGAGAUGAGUUCUCCCUGAGACUUUAAGUCUCCUGAAGGAACGUUAAAGACGAUGACGUUGAUAGGUCGGGUGUGUAAGCGCAGCGAUGCGUUGAGCUAACCGAUACUAAUGAACCGUGAGGCUUAACCUUACAACGCCGAAG